RNAcentral lists this ribosomal RNA (409 nucleotides) under bacterium. Its description in RNAcentral is "partial 16S ribosomal RNA". It matches the Rfam family "Bacterial small subunit ribosomal RNA", at positions 355 to 776 of the family's 1533-position model. The record is from RNAcentral.
UGGGGAAUAUUGCACAAUGGGCGAAAGCCUGAUGCAGCGACGCCGCGUGAGGGAUGACGGCCUUCGGGUUGUAAACCUCUUUCAGUAGGGACGAAGCGCAAGUGACGGUACCUGCAGAAGAAGCACCGGCUAACUACGUGCCAGCAGCCGCGGUAAUACGUAGGGUGCGAGCGUUGUCCGGAAUUACUGGGCGUAAAGAGCUCGUAGGCGGUUUGUCACGUCGUCUGUGAAAUCCUAGGGCUUAACCCUGGACGUGCAGGCGAUAGGGGCUGACUUGAGUACUACAGGGGAGACUGGAAUUUCUGGUGUAGCGGUGGAAUGAACAGAUAUCAGGAAGAAGACCGAUGGCGAAGGCAGGUCUCUGGGUAGUAACUGACGCUGAGGAGCGAAAGCAUGGGUAGCGAACAGG